ACUCCCGUAGCUCAGCAGCAAAGUAUGCGGCCAUAUCGUAAGGUCGUGGGUGCGAGUCCCACCGGGAGUA
Molecule: transfer RNA, 70 nt
Filed under: Caudoviricetes sp.
Lineage: Duplodnaviria; Heunggongvirae; Uroviricota; Caudoviricetes
Description: tRNA-OTHER
Rfam family: tRNA
About the family: Transfer RNA (tRNA) molecules are approximately 80 nucleotides in length. Their secondary structure includes four short double-helical elements and three loops (D, anti-codon, and T loops).
Source: RNAcentral